This 253-nucleotide ribosomal RNA is filed under the name uncultured bacterium. RNAcentral's name for it is "partial 16S ribosomal RNA". It matches the Rfam family "Bacterial small subunit ribosomal RNA", at positions 524 to 776 of the family's 1533-position model. The record is from RNAcentral.
UACGUAGGGUGCAAGCGUUGUCCGGAAUUAUUGGGCGUAAAGAGCUCGUAGGCGGUCUGUCGCGUCGGCUGUGAAAACUCGGGGCUCAACCCCGAGCCUGCAGUCGAUACGGGCAGACUAGAGUGCAGUAGGGGAGACUGGAAUUCCUGGUGUAGCGGUGAAAUGCGCAGAUAUCAGGAGGAACACCGGUGGCGAAGGCGGUUCUCUGGGCCUGUACUGACGCUGAGGAACGAAAGCGUGGGUAGCAAACAGG